UUAUUUUUGAAUAAGGACAGUCCUUGGGCA
RNAcentral lists this non-coding RNA (30 nucleotides) under Mus musculus (house mouse). The record is from RNAcentral. Lineage: Eukaryota; Metazoa; Chordata; Mammalia; Rodentia; Muridae.